This 99-nucleotide transfer RNA is filed under the name Clavibacter michiganensis. RNAcentral's name for it is "tRNA-Asp". The record is from RNAcentral. Lineage: Bacteria; Bacillati; Actinomycetota; Actinomycetes; Micrococcales; Microbacteriaceae.
CGCGGCUUCUCCGACGUGAUCGCCGACAUGCCCGCCGUCGUCGCGCACGCGCGCGGCGAGCGCGUCGUCGAGGGCGUGUUCAACGCACGCGCCCGCGCC